GUGCCUUCUCUAUAAUGAUCAGUUUUGCUUUUCUGUAUGAGCAAAGAGACAUGUGUAUCAGUAAAAUUUAAAUCAGAUCUUUUUAAAUUUACCAUUUCAGAAAAUCUUAAAAACCCUGCAUAGCUAAUAAGACACAUACAACAAAUUCUAAUUUCUAUAAGAUUGUUACAUUCUUGACCAUAUUUAAUAACAAUUUUCUUUAAAAUAUCUGGUGUAAUUGGUUCUUUUUUAUUUACAAUAACAUGUCCAAUCUUUCUAUGAGCUCCUUCUUUAACCGAUAUACACAACUGUGAAUAACACGGAUUGGGAUAGCCAGCUAGUUUAUGAGCCCAGCUUAUGGAAUAAUAUGCUUCUUCAACCUUAGCAUACGAAUUAAAUGUCUUUGAUAGGUGUAUUAAGUACAAUGAAACAUAAAAAUC
RNAcentral lists this long non-coding RNA (419 nucleotides) under Mytilus galloprovincialis (Mediterranean mussel). Lineage: Eukaryota; Metazoa; Mollusca; Bivalvia; Mytilida; Mytilidae. The record is from RNAcentral.